CCUACGGGAGGCAGCAGUGGGGAAUUUUGGACAAUGGGCGCAAGCCUGAUCCAGCCAUGCCGCGUGUGGGAAGAAGGCCUUCGGGUUGUAAACCACUUUUGUCAGGGAAGAAACGGUCUGAACUAAUACUUUGGACUAAUGACGGUACCUGAAGAAUAAGCACCGGCUAACUACGUGCCAGCAGCCGCGGUAAUACGUAGGGUGCAAGCGUUAAUCGGAAUUACUGGGCGUAAAGCGUGCGCAGGCGGCUUUGCAAGACAGAUGUGAAAUCCCCGGGCUCAACCUGGGAACUGCAUUUGUGACUGCAUGGCUAGAGUACGGUAGAGGGGGAUGGAAUUCCGCGUGUAGCAGUGAAAUGCGUAGAUAUGCGGAGGAACACCGAUGGCGAAGGCAAUCCCCUGGACCUGUACUGACGCUCAUGCACGAAAGCGUGGGGAGCAAACAGGAUUAGAUACCCUGGUAGUCCACGCCCUAAACGAUGUCAACUGGUUGUUGGGAGGGUUUCUUCUCAGUAACGAAGCUAACGCGUGAAGUUGACCGCCUGGGGAGGACGGUCGCGAGUUAGAACGUACGAAGAAGUAGNGGCGNGAGAGNGCGAGGCGACGACGAGGGAGGAGG
Molecule: ribosomal RNA, 618 nt
Filed under: uncultured bacterium
Lineage: Bacteria
Description: bacterial SSU rRNA
Rfam family: Bacterial small subunit ribosomal RNA (bases 1-542)
Source: RNAcentral